GAUAUGUUCAGGGGUACAUAGUUCAUAAACAAACGAACUUUUUGUACAAGAAGCAGCUCCUGGACAAAAUAUAUACAUUUACAAAGAACACUUAAGCUAGAUUUGGAUCUGCUCUCGGAUUACAAUUACACCUCAAUUAGGACCCCAACAGCUCAAGUACAUGACUGUUCGGAGCGACGUCUCAGCUUGUUUGACUUUGUUGUCAUUCCUGUCCAUAGAAGACUUGUUAUAGGCCAUGUGAUUAUAGCCACCGGCAUUUGUUCUCCCCAUCUGCUGCUUAGAAUAACCAGAAGGGAAGGGAGAAAUAUGAGCAGAGUCAUUAACUUCUCUAAUCGUCUCUGUGAUCCUCUGCAUCAUUGGAGAAAAGACCCUACUCAUGCUCAUCGCUAGCUUUCGAAAGAUGUGUGAGGCUGGGGGUGAGAAGAUAGGGAAGAGAGGGAGAGAGAGAUGGCUUCCAAGGAUAGAGGGGCUGUU
Rhododendron vialii is the source of this 474-nucleotide long non-coding RNA. RefSeq lists it as uncharacterized. Lineage: Eukaryota; Viridiplantae; Streptophyta; Magnoliopsida; Ericales; Ericaceae. The transcript has 2 exons. The record is from RefSeq and is a predicted model, not a curated record.